GAUGAACGCUGGCGGCGUGCCUAAUACAUGCAAGUCGAGCGAACGGACGAGAAGCUUGCUUCUCUGAUGUUAGCGGCGGACGGGUGAGUAACACGUGGAUAACCUACCUAUAAGACUGGGAUAACUUCGGGAAACCGGAGCUAAUACUGGAUCAUAUUUUGAACCGCAUGGUUCAAAAGUGAAAGACGGUUUUGCUGUCACUUAUAGAUGGAUCCGCGCUGCAUUAGCUAGUUGGUAAGGUAACGGCUUACCAAGGCAACGAUGCAUAGCCGACCUGAGAGGGUGAUCGGCCACACUGGAACUGAGACACGGUCCAGACUCCUACGGGAGGCAGCAGUAGGGAAUCUUCCGCAAUGGGCGAAAGCCUGACGGAGCAACGCCGCGUGAGUGAUGAAGGUCUUCGGAUCGUAAAACUCUGUUAUUAGGGAAGAACAUAUGUGUAAGUAACUGUGCACAUCUUGACGGUACCUAAUCUGAAAGCCACGGCUAACUACGUG
Molecule: ribosomal RNA, 497 nt
Filed under: uncultured bacterium
Lineage: Bacteria
Description: partial 16S ribosomal RNA
Rfam family: Bacterial small subunit ribosomal RNA
Source: RNAcentral